GACGAACGCUGGCGGCGUGCUUAACACAUGCAAGUCGAACGGAAAGGCCCUGCUUUUGUGGGGUGCUCGAGUGGCGAACGGGUGAGUAACACGUGAGUAACCUGCCCUUGACUUUGGGAUAACUUCAGGAAACUGGGGCUAAUACCGGAUAGGAGCUCCUGCUGCAUGGUGGGGGUUGGAAAGUUUCGGCGGUUGGGGAUGGACUCGCGGCUUAUCAGCUUGUUGGUGGGGUAGUGGCUUACCAAGGCUUUGACGGGUAGCCGGCCUGAGAGGGUGACCGGCCACAUUGGGACUGAGAUACGGCCCAGACUCCUACGGGAGGCAGCAGUGGGGAAUAUUGCACAAUGGGCGGAAGCCUGAUGCAGCAACGCCGCGUGCGGGAUGACGGCCUUCGGGUUGUAAACCGCUUUCGCCUGUGACGAAGCGUGAGUGACGGUAAUGGGUAAAGAAGCACCGGCUAACUACGUGCCAGCAGCCGCGGUGAUACGUAGGGUGCGAGCGUUGUCCGGAUUUAUUGGGCGUAAAGGGCUCGUAGGUGGUUGAUCGCGUCGGAAGUGUAAUCUUGGGGCUUAACCCUGAGCGUGCUUUCGAUACGGGUUGACUUGAGGAAGGUAGGGGAGAAUGGAAUUCCUGGUGGAGCGGUGGAAUGCGCAGAUAUCAGGAGGAACACCAGUGGCGAAGGCGGUUCUCUGGGCCUUUCCUGACGCUGAGGAGCGAAAGCGUGGGGAGCGAACAGGCUUAGAUACCCUGGUAGUCCACGCUGUAAACGGUGGGUACUAGGUGUGGGGUCCAUUCCACGGGUUCCGUGCCGUAGCUAACGCUUUAAGUACCCCGCCUGGGGAGUACGGCCGCAAGGCUAAAACUCAAAGGAAUUGACGGGGCCCCGCACAAGCGGCGGAGCAUGCGGAUUAAUUCGAUGCAACGCGUAGAACCUUACCUGGGUUUGACAUGGAUCGGGAGCGCUCAGAGAUGGGUGUGCCUCUUUUGGGGUCGGUUCACAGGUGGUGCAUGGCUGUCGUCAGCUCGUGUCGUGAGAUGUUGGGUUAAGUCCCGCAACGAGCGCAACCCUUGUUCACUGUUGCCAGCACGUUAUGGUGGGGACUCAGUGGAGACCGCCGGGGUCAACUCGGAGGAAGGUGGGGAUGACAUCAAGUCAUCAUGCCCCUUAUGUCCAGGGCUUCACGCAUGCUACAAUGGCUGGUACAGAGAGUGGCGAGCCUGUGAGGGUGAGCGAAUCUCGGAAAGCCGGUCUCAGUUCGGAUUGGGGUCUGCAACUCGACCUCAUGAAGUCGGAGUCGCUAGUAAUCGCAGAUCAGCAACGCUGCGGUGAAUACGUUCCCGGGGCU
This 1346-nucleotide ribosomal RNA is filed under the name uncultured bacterium. Its description in RNAcentral is "bacterial SSU rRNA". It matches the Rfam family "Bacterial small subunit ribosomal RNA", at positions 28 to 1381 of the family's 1533-position model. The record is from RNAcentral.